CGGCCUACGGGGGGCAGCAGUGGGGAAUUUUGGACAAUGGGCGCAAGCCUGAUCCAGCAAUGCCGCGUGAGUGAAGAAGGCCUUCGGGUUGUAAAGCUCUUUUGUCAGGGAAGAAACGGCUGAGGAUAAUACCUUCGGCUAAUGACGGUACCUGAAGAAUAAGCACCGGCUAACUACGUGCCAGCAGCCGCGGUAAUACGUAGGGUGCAAGCGUUAAUCGGAAUUACUGGGCGUAAAGCGUGCGCAGGCGGUGUUGUAAGUCUGACGUGAAAGCCCCGGGCUCAACCUGGGAAUUGCGUUGGAGACUGCAAGGCUUGAAUCUGGCAGAGGGGGGUAGAAUUCCACGUGUAGCAGUGAAAUGCGUAGAGAUGUGGAGGAACACCGAUGGCGAAGGCAGCCCCCUGGGUCAAGAUUGACGCUCAUGCACGAAAGCGUGGGGAGCAAACAGGAUUAGAUACCCGAGUAGUC
RNAcentral lists this ribosomal RNA (468 nucleotides) under uncultured Oxalobacteraceae bacterium. Its description in RNAcentral is "bacterial SSU rRNA". It matches the Rfam family "Bacterial small subunit ribosomal RNA", at positions 332 to 795 of the family's 1533-position model. The record is from RNAcentral. Lineage: Bacteria; Pseudomonadati; Pseudomonadota; Betaproteobacteria; Burkholderiales; Oxalobacteraceae.